CCUACGGGUGGCAGCAGUGGGGAAUAUUGGACAAUGGGGGGAACCCUGAUCCAGCCAUGCCGCGUGUGUGAAGAAGGCCCUCGGGUUGUAAAGCACUUUCAGUGAGGAAGAACGCCUGGUGGUUAAUACCCAUCAGGAAAGACAUCACUCACAGAAGAAGCACCGGCUAACUCCGUGCCAGCAGCCGCGGUAAUACGGAGGGUGCGAGCGUUAAUCGGAAUUACUGGGCGUAAAGCGCGCGUAGGUGGCUUGAUAAGCCGGUUGUGAAAGCCCCGGGCUCAACCUGGGAACGGCAUCCGGAACUGUCAAGCUAGAGUGCAGGAGAGGAAGGUAGAAUUCCCGGUGUAGCGGUGAAAUGCGUAUAGAUCGGGAGGAAUACCAGUGGCGAAGGCGGCCUUCUGGACUGACACUGACACUGAGGUGCGAAAGCGUGGGUAGCAAACAGGAUUAGAUACCCUUGUAGUC
This 465-nucleotide ribosomal RNA is filed under the name Vreelandella stevensii. Its description in RNAcentral is "partial 16S ribosomal RNA". It matches the Rfam family "Bacterial small subunit ribosomal RNA", at positions 338 to 795 of the family's 1533-position model. The record is from RNAcentral. Lineage: Bacteria; Pseudomonadati; Pseudomonadota; Gammaproteobacteria; Oceanospirillales; Halomonadaceae.